GACGAACGCUGGCGGCGUGCUUAACACAUGCAAGUCGAACGGAAAGGCCCUGCUUUUGUGGGGUGCUCGAGUGGCGAACGGGUGAGUAACACGUGAGUAACCUGCCCUUGACUUUGGGAUAACUUCAGGAAACUGGGGCUAAUACCGGAUAGGAGCUCCUGCUGCAUGGUGGGGAUUGGAAAGUUUCGGCGGUUGGGGAUGGACUCGCGGCUUAUCAGCUUGUUGGUGGGGUAGUGGCUUACCAAGGCUUUGACGGGUAGCCGGCCUGAGAGGGUGACCGGCCACAUUGGGACUGAGAUACGGCCCAGACUCCUACGGGAGGCAGCAGUGGGGAAUAUUGCACAAUGGGCGGAAGCCUGAUGCAGCAACGCCGCGUGCGGGAUGACGGCCUUCGGGUUGUAAACCGCUUUCGCCUGUGACGAAGCGUGAGUGACGGUAAUGGGUAAAGAAGCACCGGCUAACUACGUGCCAGCAGCCGCGGUGAUACGUAGGGUGCGAGCGUUGUCCGGAUUUAUUGGGCGUAAAGGGCUCGUAGGUGGUUGAUCGCGUCGGAAGUGCAAUCUUGGGGCUUAACCCUGAGCGUGCUUUCGAUACGGGUUGACUUGAGGAAGGUAGGGGAGAAUGGAAUUCCUGGUGGAGCGGUGGAAUGCGCAGAUAUCAGGAGGAACACCAGUGGCGAAGGCGGUUCUCUGGGCCUUUCCUGACGCUGAGGAGCGAAAGCGUGGGGAGCGAACAGGCUUAGAUACCCUGGUAGUCCACGCUGUAAACGGUGGGUACUAGGUGUGGGGUCCAUUCCACGGGUUCCGUGCCGUAGCUAACGCUUUAAGUACCCCGCCUGGGGAGUACGGCCGCAAGGCUAAAACUCAAAGGAAUUGACGGGGCCCCGCACAAGCGGCGGAGCAUGCGGAUUAAUUCGAUGCAACGCGUAGAACCUUACCUGGGUUUGACAUGGAUCGGGAGUGCUCAGAGAUGGGUGUGCCUCUUUUGGGGUCGGUUCACAGGUGGUGCAUGGCUGUCGUCAGCUCGUGUCGUGAGAUGUUGGGUUAAGUCCCGCAACGAGCGCAACCCUUGUUCACUGUUGCCAGCACGUUAUGGUGGGGACUCAGUGGAGACCGCCGGGGUCAACUCGGAGGAAGGUGGGGAUGACGUCAAGUCAUCAUGCCCCUUAUGUCCAGGGCUUCACGCAUGCUACAAUGGCUGGUACAGAGAGUGGCGAGCCUGUGAGGGUGAGCGAAUCUCGGAAAGCCGGUCUCAGUUCGGAUUGGGGUCUGCAACUCGACCUCAUGAAGUCGGAGUCGCUAGUAAUCGCAGAUCAGCAACGCUGCGGUGAAUACGUUCCCGGGGCU
This 1346-nucleotide ribosomal RNA is filed under the name uncultured bacterium. RNAcentral's name for it is "partial 16S ribosomal RNA". It matches the Rfam family "Bacterial small subunit ribosomal RNA", at positions 28 to 1381 of the family's 1533-position model. The record is from RNAcentral.